Molecule: ribosomal RNA, 448 nt
Filed under: bacterium A5S_VP6_A10
Lineage: Bacteria
Description: bacterial SSU rRNA
Rfam family: Bacterial small subunit ribosomal RNA
Source: RNAcentral
UACUACGGGAGGCAGCAGUGGGGAAUCUUGGACAAUGGGGGCAACCCUGAUCCAGCCAUGCCGCGUGAGUGAUGAAGGCCUUAGGGUCGUAAAGCUCUUUCGCCUGUGAAGAUAAUGACGGUAGCAGGUAAAGAAACCCCGGCUAACUCCGUGCCAGCAGCCGCGGUAAUACGGAGGGGGUUAGCGUUGUUCGAAAUUACUGGGCGUAAAGCGCACGUAGGUGGAUCGAAAAGUUGGGGGUGAAAUCCCGGGGCUCAACCCCGGAACUGCCUCCAAAAUUAUCGGUUUAAAGUUCGACAGAGGUGACUGGAAUUCCCAGUGUAUAGGUGAAAUUUCUAAAUUUUCGGAGGAACACCCGGGGCGAAGGUGGUUCCAUGCCUCGAUUCUGACCUAAAGGUGCCAAAUUGUUGGGGGCAAACCAGAUUAAAAUACCCGGUUUGUCCCCCCC